RNAcentral lists this ribosomal RNA (260 nucleotides) under Rhizobium leguminosarum bv. phaseoli. Its description in RNAcentral is "partial 16S ribosomal RNA". It matches the Rfam family "Bacterial small subunit ribosomal RNA", at positions 46 to 334 of the family's 1533-position model. The record is from RNAcentral. Lineage: Bacteria; Pseudomonadati; Pseudomonadota; Alphaproteobacteria; Hyphomicrobiales; Rhizobiaceae.
AGGCUUAACACAUGCAAGUCGAGCGCCCCGCAAGGGGAGCGGCAGACGGGUGAGUAACGCGUGGGAAUCUACCCUCUACUACGGAAUAACGCAUGGAAACGUGUGCUAAUACCGUAUGUGUCCUUCGGGAGAAAGAUUUAUCGGUAGGGGAUGAGCCCGCGUUGGAUUAGCUAGUUGGUGGGGUAAAGGCCUACCAAGGCGACGAUCCAUAGCUGGCCUGAGAGGAUGACCAGCCACAUUGGGACUGAGACACGGCCCAA